This 468-nucleotide ribosomal RNA is filed under the name uncultured bacterium. RNAcentral describes it as "partial 16S ribosomal RNA". It matches the Rfam family "Bacterial small subunit ribosomal RNA", at positions 28 to 507 of the family's 1533-position model. The record is from RNAcentral.
GACGAGCGCUGGCGGCGUGCUUAACACAUGCAAGUCGAACGGAAAGGCCCUGCUUUUGUGGGGUGCUCGAGUGGCGAACGGGUGAGUAACACGUGAGUAACCUGCCCUUGACUUUGGGAUAACUUCAGGAAACUGGGGCUAAUACCGGAUAGGAGCUCCUGCUGCAUGGUGGGGGUUGGAAAGUUUCGGCGGUUGGGGAUGGACUCGCGGCUUAUCAGCUUGUUGGUGGGGUAGUGGCUUACCAAGGCUUUGAUGGGUAGCCGGCCUGAGAGGGUGACCGGCCACAUUGGGACUGAGAUACGGCCCAGACUCCUACGGGAGGCAGCAGUGGGGAAUAUUGCACAAUGGGCGGAAGCCUGAUGCAGCAACGCCGCGUGCGGGAUGACGGCCUUCGGGUUGUAAACCGCUUUCGCCUGUGACGAAGCGUGAGUGACGGUAAUGGGUAAAGAAGCACCGGCUAACUACGUG